This 561-nucleotide ribosomal RNA is filed under the name uncultured fungus. RNAcentral describes it as "eukaryotic LSU rRNA". The stretch from base 170 to 323 matches the Rfam family "5.8S ribosomal RNA". The record is from RNAcentral. Lineage: Eukaryota; Fungi.
UCCGUAGGUGAACCUGCGGAAGGAUCAUUACCUAGAGUUGUAGGCUUUGCCUGCUAUCUCUUACCCAUGUCUUUUGAGUACUUACGUUUCCUCGGCGGGUCCGCCCGCCGAUUGGACAAUUUAAACCAUUUGCAGUUGCAAUCAGCGUCUGAAAAACUUUAAUAGUUACAACUUUCAACAACGGAUCUCUUGGUUCUGGCAUCGAUGAAGAACGCAGCGAAAUGCGAUAAGUAGUGUGAAUUGCAGAAUUCAGUGAAUCAUCGAAUCUUUGAACGCACAUUGCGCCCCUUGGUAUUCCAUGGGGCAUGCCUGUUCGAGCGUCAUUUGUACCUUCAAGCUUUGCUUGGUGUUGGGUGUUUGUCUCGCCUCUGCGUGUAGACUCGCCUUAAAACAAUUGGCAGCCGGCGUAUUGAUUUCGGAGCGCAGUACAUCUCGCGCUUUGCACUCAUAACGACGACGUCCAAAAGUACAUUUUUACACUCUUGACCUCGGAUCAGGUAGGGAUACCCGCUGAACUUAAGCAUAUAAUAAGCGGAGGGAAGUCGGACUGGCCAAGGGCAC